RNAcentral lists this unclassified non-coding RNA (401 nucleotides) under Hevea brasiliensis (rubber tree). Lineage: Eukaryota; Viridiplantae; Streptophyta; Magnoliopsida; Malpighiales; Euphorbiaceae. The record is from RNAcentral.
UUUGGCUUUAUUGGGAUUAUAAACUAAACCUGUUCGUGGGUUUCAAGCAUCGUUCUUGAGAUUCGCAUCAAAUGUCAAAGGGACGUGAAGGCUAGAAAAGAAUCCAAUUUAAAAAAAUCCAAAAUUUUUAUCAUGUGCAGAGGAAUUUGUCAUCUUAAUUCAUAAGCAUGUACCCUCUAGAGAAGAAAAGAUGCUAGUAUAUCUAAAAAACUAAAGCAACGUGAGUCUGUGACAGAAGCAAAUGGAACCCAAGCAUCAGAAGUUCAAGCAACAUUUAGUUGGCUAACAACAAUCAAAAGACUUAGAUGAUCACCUUAAUUUGAGUUGCAUGGGGUACAAAGUAGCAUGCAUGGAAUUUGACCGUUUAAGAAAAAGCAAUUGUUUUUUUUUUUUAAUUAAAG